GCCCUCAGGUGAGCCCAGGAGUUUUGAACGAAGCCCAGGAAAGACAAAAUCCCUGGGUGCCUUGGGCCCCCGGUCCCCAGGAUUAAAUUCCUGGGAAGAUAGCUAGAACUCUUUGGGAAGCCCGGCUCCCAGGGGAAGAGGGCUAUGACCUUGAAGCUUCCCAACGCCCCCUCCAACAACCGCACAACUCCGGACCGCUGGGGAAGGGGGGGCGAUGUGGAGAGAAGGGGGAGGCGCUGUGGUGGGGAAAGCAGCCGGCCCACGGCGCUCCUUGCCCGCCCCCCACACCAGCUGUCUCGACAGGCUGUGCUCUGUCGUUAAACCUUCUCUGAAGAAUGGAGUGAUCCUCUUCCCUUUUCCACUUCACUCUGGGAGACCUUGAACCCCGAUCUACGGUUGAAUGGGGUUUCUGUCACUCACAACUCAGAAGAAUCCUGACAAAUACUUCCUUCUGCUGCUGAGAAACUAUCAACAAUCCUCCCUCCUCCAACUGGUUCUUCCCCGAAAGAUCUCAAGCCCCGCCCCCAGGACCUUGCUUAGACACGUGUCCAACAGCUGUGCGCAGAGAAGCUCUGGAGCCAACUCUGGAGCCAAGCCCAGGCGGAGGCGCGAUGCCACCAGUCCCGCCAGGGCAGAGCCAGACAUCGUGUCCCACACGCCAUCAGAGGCCAGGAUCACAAACUCGUCCUCUGCCCGGCGUGCCAGGGCGGUCACUUCAGGCUCCGCGGAAACGAGCUGCAGUUCCGGGGGUCUCCCAGGAGCUUCUUUGUAAGCAAAGUCUCCCAGCGCUUGUGACACUGCCAGAGAGCCCUCGAGGCGCCGGCGGCGGAUAGUACCGCCCGCGUCAUGGAUGCGUUCUAGUUCCUGGGGACGGAGGGGCCGAUGAUCCUCGGUGCCGAA
This is a non-coding RNA of Sus scrofa (pig), 900 nucleotides long. NCBI's taxonomy places the organism in Eukaryota, Metazoa, Chordata, Mammalia, Artiodactyla, Suidae. The record is from RefSeq and is a predicted model, not a curated record.